UAGGGAAUAUUGCGCAAUGGACGAAAGUCUGACGCAGCCAUGCCGCGUGAGUGAGGAAGGCCUUCGGGUUGUAAAGCUCUGUCGCCUGGGAAAAACGGCUAUCUGGGGAAAGUUCAGGUAGCGUGAUGGUACCAGGAGAGGAAGCACCGGCAAACUCUGUGCCAGCAGCCGCGGUAAUACAGAGGGUGCAAGCGUUGUUCGGAAUUACUGGGCGUAAAGCGUGCGUAGUCGGUAUUGAGAGUCGCGGGUGAAAUCCCAGGGCUUAACCCUGGAACUGCCUGCGAGACCUCAGUACUAGAGUGUGAGAGGGGAUAGUGGAAUACCCAGUGUAGCGGUGAAAUGCGUAGAGAUUGGGUGGAACACCGGUGGCGAAGGCGGCUAUCUGGCUCACAACUGACGAUCAGGCACGAAAGCGUGGGGAGCAAAC
Molecule: ribosomal RNA, 427 nt
Filed under: uncultured bacterium
Lineage: Bacteria
Description: bacterial SSU rRNA
Rfam family: Bacterial small subunit ribosomal RNA
Source: RNAcentral